This 253-nucleotide ribosomal RNA is filed under the name uncultured bacterium. Its description in RNAcentral is "partial 16S ribosomal RNA". It matches the Rfam family "Bacterial small subunit ribosomal RNA", at positions 524 to 776 of the family's 1533-position model. The record is from RNAcentral.
UACAGAGGUCUCAAGCGUUGUUCGGAUUCAUUGGGCGUAAAGGGUGCGUAGGUGGCGCUGUAAGUCAGAUGUGAAAUUUCGGAGCUUAACUCCGAAACUGCAUUUGAUACUGCGGUGCUUGAGGACUGGAGAGGAGAUUGGAAUUCACGGUGUAGCAGUGAAAUGCGUAGAUAUCGUGAGGAAGACCAGUGGCGAAGGCGGCAUCCUGGACCGGCAUUGACGCUGAGGCGCGAAAGCCAGGGGAGCAAACGGG